This 1188-nucleotide ribosomal RNA is filed under the name Campylobacter jejuni. RNAcentral's name for it is "bacterial SSU rRNA". It matches the Rfam family "Bacterial small subunit ribosomal RNA", at positions 325 to 1533 of the family's 1533-position model. Lineage: Bacteria; Pseudomonadati; Campylobacterota; Epsilonproteobacteria; Campylobacterales; Campylobacteraceae. The record is from RNAcentral.
CACGGUCCAGACUCCUACGGGAGGCAGCAGUAGGGAAUAUUGCGCAAUGGGGGAAACCCUGACGCAGCAACGCCGCGUGGAGGAUGACACUUUUCGGAGCGUAAACUCCUUUUCUUAGGGAAGAAUUCUGACGGUACCUAAGGAAUAAGCACCGGCUAACUCCGUGCCAGCAGCCGCGGUAAUACGGAGGGUGCAAGCGUUACUCGGAAUCACUGGGCGUAAAGGGCGCGUAGGCGGAUUAUCAAGUCUCUUGUGAAAUCUAAUGGCUUAACCAUUAAACUGCUUGGGAAACUGAUAGUCUAGAGUGAGGGAGAGGCAGAUGGAAUUGGUGGUGUAGGGGUAAAAUCCGUAGAUAUCACCAAGAAUACCCAUUGCGAAGGCGAUCUGCUGGAACUCAACUGACGCUAAGGCGCGAAAGCGUGGGGAGCAAACAGGAUUAGAUACCCUGGUAGUCCACGCCCUAAACGAUGUACACUAGUUGUUGGGGUGCUAGUCAUCUCAGUAAUGCAGCUAACGCAUUAAGUGUACCGCCUGGGGAGUACGGUCGCAAGAUUAAAACUCAAAGGAAUAGACGGGGACCCGCACAAGCGGUGGAGCAUGUGGUUUAAUUCGAAGAUACGCGAAGAACCUUACCUGGGCUUGAUAUCCUAAGAACCUUUUAGAGAUAAGAGGGUGCUAGCUUGCUAGAACUUAGAGACAGGUGCUGCACGGCUGUCGUCAGCUCGUGUCGUGAGAUGUUGGGUUAAGUCCCGCAACGAGCGCAACCCACGUAUUUAGUUGCUAACGGUUCGACCGAGCACUCUAAAUAGACUGCCUUCGUAAGGAGGAGGAAGGUGUGGACGACGUCAAGUCAUCAUGGCCCUUAUGCCCAGGGCGACACACGUGCUACAAUGGCAUAUACAAUGAGACGCAAUACCGCGAGGUGGAGCAAAUCUAUAAAAUAUGUCCCAGUUCGGAUUGUUCUCUGCAACUCGAGAGCAUGAAGCCGGAAUCGCUAGUAAUCGUAGAUCAGCCAUGCUACGGUGAAUACGUUCCCGGGUCUUGUACUCACCGCCCGUCACACCAUGGGAGUUGAUUUCACUCGAAGCCGGAAUACUAAACUAGUUACCGUCCACAGUGGAAUCAGCGACUGGGGUGAAGUCGUAACAAGGUAACCGUAGGAGAACCUGCGGUUGGAUCACCUCCUUU